RNAcentral lists this ribosomal RNA (601 nucleotides) under uncultured bacterium. RNAcentral's name for it is "bacterial SSU rRNA". The stretch from base 1 to 523 matches the Rfam family "Bacterial small subunit ribosomal RNA", at positions 338 to 873 of the family's 1533-position model. The record is from RNAcentral.
CCUACGGGAGGCAGCAGUGGGGAAUAUUGGACAAUGGGCGAAAGCCUGAUCCAGCAACGCCGCGUGAGGGAUGACGGCCUUCGGGUUGUAAACCUCUUUCAGCAGGGACGAAGCGAAAGUGACGGUACCUGCAGAAGAAGGACCGGCCAACUACGUGCCAGCAGCCGCGGUAAUACGUAGGGUCCGAGCGUUGUCCGGAAUUAUUGGGCGUAAAGGGCUCGUAGGCGGUUUGUCGCGUCGGGAGUGAAAACUCAGGGCUCAACCCUGAGCGUGCUUCCGAUACGGGCAGACUAGAGGUAUGCAGGGGAGAACGGAAUUCCUGGUGUAGCGGUGGAAUGCGCAGAUAUCAGGAGGAACACCGGUGGCGAAGGCGGUUCUCUGGGCAUUACCUGACGCUGAGGAGCGAAAGCAUGGGGAGCGAACAGGAUUAGAUACCCUGGUAGUCCAUGCCGUAAACGUUGGGCGCUAGGUGUGGGGACCUUCCACGGUCUCCGUGCCGCAGCUAACGCAUUAAGCGCCCGCCUGGGGNGUCGCCGCGAGACGAAACGUAAAGUAGUAGUAGACGUGUGAGAGACGACGACGACGACGACGGAGGAGGAGG